AUUAAUUCUAGGAGGGAAGGGUAAAUAUGGAAUAAAACAAGUUGUUUGAGGUGAUAAGGCUCUUCAUUAUUAUAUAUUAUAGAGCAUAGGUAUUUGUGGCAGCUUGAUGAAAGUUCCAAGUUCAUAUAACACAAAGCUUAGUGAAAUCUCAUUAUCAGAAUCCUAAUAAUCCAACCAAAUCAGGAAUAGUCGCAAGCAAAUUCAAUCAUUGAGGGUUUUAUUUAAGG
Molecule: unclassified non-coding RNA, 227 nt
Filed under: Hevea brasiliensis (rubber tree)
Lineage: Eukaryota; Viridiplantae; Streptophyta; Magnoliopsida; Malpighiales; Euphorbiaceae
Source: RNAcentral